GGUACUCGAGCGGCGAACGGGUGAGUAACACGUGAGUAAUCUGCCUCUGGCUUCGGGAUAGCCACCGGAAACGGUGAUUAAUACCGGAUAUGACAUCUUCACGCAUGUGAUGGGUGUGGAAAGUUUUUUCGGCCAGGGAUGUGCUCGCGGCCUAUCAGCUUGUUGGUGGGGUAAUGGCCUACCAAGGCUUCGACGGGUAGCCGGCCUGAGAGGGUGACCGGCCACACUGGGACUGAGACACGGCCCAGACUCCUACGGGAGGCAGCAGUGGGGAAUAUUGGACAAUGGGCGGAAGCCUGAUCCAGCAACGCCGCGUGAGGGAUGACGGCCUUCGGGUUGUAAACCUCUUUCAGCACAGACGAAGCGCAAGUGACGGUAUGUGCAGAAGAAGGACCGGCCAACUACGUGCCAGCAGCCGCGGUAAUACGUAGGGUCCGAGCGUUGUCCGGAAUUAUUGGGCGUAAAGGGCUCGUAGGCGGUUUGUCGCGUCGGGAGUGAAAACACCGGGCUUAACUCGGUGCUUGCUUUCGAUACGGGCAGACUAGAGGCAUUCAGGGGAGAACGGAAUUCCUGGUGUAGCGGUGAAAUGCGCAGAUAUCAGGAGGAACACCGGUGGCGAAGGCGGUUCUCUGGGAAUGUCCUGACGCUGAGGAGCGAAAG
This 660-nucleotide ribosomal RNA is filed under the name Nocardioides marinus. RNAcentral's name for it is "bacterial SSU rRNA". It matches the Rfam family "Bacterial small subunit ribosomal RNA", at positions 86 to 759 of the family's 1533-position model. Lineage: Bacteria; Bacillati; Actinomycetota; Actinomycetes; Propionibacteriales; Nocardioidaceae. The record is from RNAcentral.